RNAcentral lists this ribosomal RNA (253 nucleotides) under uncultured bacterium. Its description in RNAcentral is "partial 16S ribosomal RNA". It matches the Rfam family "Bacterial small subunit ribosomal RNA", at positions 524 to 776 of the family's 1533-position model. The record is from RNAcentral.
UACAGAGGGUGCCAGCGUUAAUCGGGAUUACUGGGCGUAAAGCGUGCGUAGACGGUUAUGUAAGUCCGGUGUGAAAGCCCCGGGCUCAACCUGGGAAUGCCAUUUGAGACUGCAUAGCUAGGGUACGGAAGAGGGAAGCGGAAUUUCAGGUGUAGCGGUGAAAUGCGUAGAUAUCUGAAGGAACACCAGUGGCGAAAGCGGCUUCCUGGUCCAGUACCGACGUUCAGGCACGAAAGCGUGGGGAGCAAACAGG